This 308-nucleotide unclassified non-coding RNA is filed under the name uncultured fungus. RNAcentral describes it as "partial contains small subunit ribosomal RNA, internal transcribed spacer 1, and 5.8S ribosomal RNA". The stretch from base 1 to 73 matches the Rfam family "Eukaryotic small subunit ribosomal RNA", at positions 1759 to 1831 of the family's 1831-position model. Lineage: Eukaryota; Fungi. The record is from RNAcentral.
CCAAACUUGGUCAUUUAGAGGAAGUAAAAGUCGUAACAAGGUCUCCGUUGGUGAACCAGCGGAGGGAUCAUUAUUAGAGUUAAAACUCAAAACCCACUGUGAAUCUACCUCAAGUUGCUUCGGCAGAGGCCCACGGGGGGCCACGACUGCUGUAAAGUCGUCUGAGAAGUGCCCCAGAGUGCAACUCAGUUGCCGAAGAACGCCCAAACAAACGCUGUAAAAAGAAAACUGCAUCUGAGCUAUAUAAAAAACUAUUGAAAACUUUCAACAACGGAUCUCUUGGUUCUGGCAUCGAUGAAGAACGCAGC